RNAcentral lists this ribosomal RNA (1366 nucleotides) under uncultured bacterium. RNAcentral's name for it is "bacterial SSU rRNA". It matches the Rfam family "Bacterial small subunit ribosomal RNA", at positions 28 to 1381 of the family's 1533-position model. The record is from RNAcentral.
AGUGAACGCUGGUGGCAGGCCUAACACAUGCAAGUCGAACGGCAGCACAGAGGAGCUUGCUCCUUGGGUGGCGAGUGGCGGACGGGUGAGGAAUACAUCGGAAUCUGCCUAUUUGUGGGGGAUAACGUAGGGAAACUUACGCUAAUACCGCAUACGACCUACGGGUGAAAGCGGAGGACCUUCGGGCUUCGCGCAGAUAGAUGAGCCGAUGUCGGAUUAGCUAGUUGGCGGGGUAAAGGCCCACCAAGGCGACGAUCCGUAGCUGGUCUGAGAGGAUGAUCAGCCACACUGGAACUGAGACACGGUCCAGACUCCUACGGGAGGCAGCAGUGGGGAAUAUUGGACAAUGGGCGCAAGCCUGAUCCAGCCAUGCCGCGUGGGUGAAGAAGGCCUUCGGGUUGUAAAGCCCUUUUGUUGGGAAAGAAAAGCAGUCGGUUAAUACCCGAUUGUUCUGACGGUACCCAAAGAAUAAGCACCGGCUAACUUCGUGCCAGCAGCCGCGGUAAUACGAAGGGUGCAAGCGUUACUCGGAAUUACUGGGCGUAAAGCGUGCGUAGGUGGUUUGUUAAGUCUGAUGUGAAAGCCCUGGGCUCAACCUGGGAAUUGCAUUGGAUACUGGCAGGCUAGAGUGCGGUAGAGGGUAGUGGAAUUCCCGGUGUAGCAGUGAAAUGCGUAGAGAUCGGGAGGAACAUCCGUGGCGAAGGCGACUACCUGGACCAGCACUGACACUGAGGCACGAAAGCGUGGGGAGCAAACAGGAUUAGAUACCCUGGUAGUCCACGCCCUAAACGAUGCGAACUGGAUGUUGGGUUCAACUAGGAACUCAGUAUCGAAGCUAACGCGUUAAGUUCGCCGCCUGGGGAGUACGGUCGCAAGACUGAAACUCAAAGGAAUUGACGGGGGCCCGCACAAGCGGUGGAGUAUGUGGUUUAAUUCGAUGCAACGCGAAGAACCUUACCUGGCCUUGACAUGCACGGAACUUUCCAGAGAUGGAUUGGUGCCUUCGGGAACCGUGACACAGGUGCUGCAUGGCUGUCGUCAGCUCGUGUCGUGAGAUGUUGGGUUAAGUCCCGCAACGAGCGCAACCCUUGUCCUUAGUUGCCAGCACGUAAUGGUGGGAACUCUAAGGAGACCGCCGGUGACAAACCGGAGGAAGGUGGGAAUGACGUCAAGUCAUCAUGGCCCUUACGGCCAGGGCUACACACGUACUACAAUGGGAAGGACAGAGGGCUGCGAACCCGCGAGGGCAAGCCAAUCCCAGAAACCUUCUCUCAGUCCGGAUCGGAGUCUGCAACUCGACUCCGUGAAGUCGGAAUCGCUAGUAAUCGCAGAUCAGCAUUGCUGCGGUGAAUACGUUCCCGGGCCU